Molecule: non-coding RNA, 96 nt
Organism: Ornithorhynchus anatinus (platypus)
Lineage: Eukaryota; Metazoa; Chordata; Mammalia; Monotremata; Ornithorhynchidae
Product: microRNA mir-1421o
Exons: 1
Source: RefSeq, marked provisional
GCAGCUGCCUUAAUGCACGGUGUGAGAUGGUCACAUGAGGUACAGUGUGAUGGUGGAACACACUGCAUCCCAAGUGAUCACCCUACAUGGCGCUGU